This 75-nucleotide transfer RNA is filed under the name Candidatus Margulisiibacteriota bacterium. Its description in RNAcentral is "tRNA-Glu". It matches the Rfam family "tRNA". From Rfam's summary of the family: Transfer RNA (tRNA) molecules are approximately 80 nucleotides in length. Their secondary structure includes four short double-helical elements and three loops (D, anti-codon, and T loops). Further hydrogen bonds mediate the characteristic L-shaped molecular structure. tRNAs have two regions of fundamental functional importance: the anti-codon, which is responsible for specific mRNA codon recognition, and the 3' end, to which the tRNAs corresponding amino acid is attached (by aminoacyl-tRNA synthetases). tRNAs cope with the degeneracy of the genetic code in two manners: having more than one tRNA (with a specific anti-codon) for a particular amino acid; and 'wobble' base-pairing, i.e. permitting non-standard base-pairing at the 3rd anti-codon position. Lineage: Bacteria; Bacillati; Candidatus Margulisiibacteriota. The record is from RNAcentral.
GGCCCUAUCGUCUAAUGGUCAGGACAUCGGCUUUUCAAGCCGGUAAUAAGGGUUCGAUUCCCUUUAGGGCUGCCA